UACGGAGGAUCCGAGCGUUAUCCGGAUUUAUUGGGUUUAAAGGGUGCGUAGGCGGCUUUUUAAGUCAGCGGUGAAAUUUUGCAGCUUAACUGUAACAGUGCCGUUGAUACUGGGGAGCUAGGAUUUGGUUGCUGUGGGUGGAAUGUGUGGUGUAGCGGUGAAAUGCUUAGAGAUCACACAGAAUAUCGAUUGCGAAGGCAGCUCACAAAGCCAAGAUUGACGCUGAGGCACGAAAGUGUGGGGAUCAAACAGGAUUAGAUACCCCGGUA
Molecule: ribosomal RNA, 269 nt
Filed under: uncultured prokaryote
Description: partial 16S ribosomal RNA
Rfam family: Bacterial small subunit ribosomal RNA
Source: RNAcentral